UGUUGAUUCCACAAUCACUUUAUCGUCGGUGUUUUUGUCCAAUUGGAAGAACUCUGAGAAGCCGCAGACAUGAAGCGUCAUUGGGGACACACCUCACCUCGUACCUGAGCAAACCCGCAAUGUCUUUCUCAUUUGCAAGGUUAAGAAGAUUUAAAAUACCAGCACAUUUUGCUACCAUAAUCCAAGAUGUCUUGAUGUGAAGUUGAUUACUGAUACAUUUCUGCGUGUAGAACUUUGGAUAACAGAGAUAAUUGUUAAGGUAUCUGCAACUUAUCUGUUGCUGAUGAAGAAAAUAAUGCUUAAGGAUAACAGUAUUGAAUCCCCCACCCUCUCAAUCUCAGUAGAAAUACCAGAUGUGUAAGAAAUUCAAAAUUCAAAACCUAAUUGAAUUCUCCAAAGUGAUGCAAGAUAAAAAUCCUAUAAUGAAGGUAAUAAUAUCAUGUUAUAGUAUACAAGAUAGUUUAUAUGUAAGUUUCCCUGGUUAUUCCCAGCUUUGAAAUUCAGUUUGGAUAUUAUCAGGUACUUUUUCACGCUUCUAAGAUUGGGAAAAAUUUAUUUCAUCUAAAUGUUGUAUUUCCACUUUUUAGUGCUCCAAACAACAAAAUGUUGAAUUUUGUCUUUGGGUAUUAACUAAAAAGGGUCUCUAAGUUUAUCUCUAACAAUUAGGAUCGAGUUUUGGACAGGUUGCUGAGUGUAGGAAAAAUUAGAGAAAUGUUGAAGUUGAUGAAAGUCAGGUAUCAAUAGAGUAGCAGUAUAGUACAAAAAUGAUCGUGAACGGAGUUACAGAUAGUGCUAAUGAUAGGAUACAGAUAAAGUUGUUGAUUUAGCCUAUUAAGAAACUUGAGCAUGGUUUUACAUUUUUGUAAUUUGAAUUAUUGUCAUUUCAUCCUGUCGUUUGAUCUUUGUAUAGCACUAUGGAUUGCCUCAUAUCUACAAUUAAAAAUUAAGUUUAUAUCUGUAGGUUCUGCUCCUCUGGGUUACCUCAUUUUUGUUGGUUAGAUGUUAAUAAGAACCUAUUGCCAAUGUUGUUGCAUACAUGUUAAAUGCUUUUGUUUUUGUUUCCCUAGAUCUCAUGCAAUGAUACUUGAAUACUUUCUUUUCAUGCUGGCAUCAUCUCUGCUUUUCAGACUGCUUUGACCAUAGUUAGUAAAAGCUUACAUAUUUACCAAGAAAGUUAAAGAAUUUCCAUUCCCCACUACUUGACCAAACAAUAAAAGGAAGGCAAAAAGAUUUGGUUGCAUAACUUUUGUCAGUAUAACUAUUUCUGGCAUCAGGGUAAUAUUUCCAAAAAUGUUAGCAGGAAUGGUACAACACCAAAACAGCAUUCAUAAUUUGUACUACGUAGAGAAUGUCACAUGAAAUUUCCUAGCAACUCUCACUGAAGCUGGUUUGGUUGGAAAUUUAAACUCCUGUGGUUCACAUAAUUCUGAAAAAGAAAAGAAAAAAGAAGUGGCAUACUCUAAACGGUUAAGGAUAUUUCUGAAACUAAAAGUUGUGGCUUCAUUUAUGCAGUACAAAGCCAUAUAAUAUAGGGAAUGUCAUUGCUCUGGCCCCAUAGAGGAAAGACUUGUUGACAAAUAGUUCAAGGUCUGCUAGCUGGCUUGAUUCUCUUCUCCAUUUGAAGUUUAUCCCUAACUAUAUUCUUGCAGUUAAAUUUUCUGUCGUACUUAGGUUCCUUUGUACUUGCAUGAAUGGUGUAACGUCUUUUCAGAAUUAGACUGCAUUAAUGAGUGAUGGAUUUAGCAGCCAAUACUCAUUGUCCUAAAUGGGGACAGAGGAAGGGGACCAAUUGGUUUCAAGUCACUCUGUAAUCCUUCCUUAGUGGCUUUUGUCCCAAAAACCUUUGUUGAUGUCUACCUCUUUAUCCGACAUCCCUUGGGACCCUUGUCUCCUCCUAUAUUCAAUUCUUCAAUAAAUUACUUUUUUUUCUUCUAAUUGGAGUGUCACCUACUUUAAAGCUUAGUGCUAAUUUCUUGAUAAACUGUUUUGUUUUAAAGAUUAAUACUAAUACCUCUUAACAAGUUCUUUAUAUACACACUCAAUCAAACUCCUAACUAUCUGUUAUGCAUUUUCUUUCUGUAAAUUACACAUUUUUCUGAAUUGGGAUGUCACUUACUUUAAGUUUAAUAUGUUAAUCUAUCUGAAAACUAACAUGUUUGAAAGAUUGAUAUCUUUUAACAAAUAUUAUUUAUACAUACAACUCUCAUAAUUCAAGUAUCAUCUGUUUUAGAAUUGCAGACUAAUCUUUUGAAGUAUUAGUAUCUGUUUGGAAUAUUGAUUUUUCUUCUGCUAGAUAUGCAGAAUCUAGUAUGGAAUAUCUGACUACAUGUUUAAGAAACAUAAUUACCUAAAAUAUUUGACAUUACAUUAAUAUUUUUACUUAAUUGCUUGUGGUGUGUUAUUAGUUAAUUUCUUGAUGAAAAGGACAGAGUUUUGAUGAUGAAUAUUUUAUGCUAGAGAAGAUUUAUAUGCAACACCACACAUGGGUUGUAGUGGAUGAUAAAGCCUGAAAUUUCCUUGCCAUGAAAAUCAUGAUAUUUAUUUAGUUAAUAUUUGAGAGUUGUGCUGAAGUGAUUGAAGGACAAGAAUACAGCUACGUGUGUCUGAAGGAGUCUAGUGGUAAUGGUAUCAUGUAAUUUAUCCAUUUGUGCGCGUGCCUUCAGGAUGAGAUCUGCACAUACCCAUUGUCCUUUUUUACAUUUGUUUUUUUGCUGUAAAUUGUAAGUACUAUACAAUUUUGCAAGUUGGUUUCUAAUUCAUAUUUCUGU
Long non-coding RNA from Vigna unguiculata (cowpea), 2768 nucleotides. The record is from RefSeq and is a predicted model, not a curated record. Lineage: Eukaryota; Viridiplantae; Streptophyta; Magnoliopsida; Fabales; Fabaceae.